GAGUCCCUUCUCUCUAG
Molecule: transfer RNA, 17 nt
Filed under: Salmo salar (Atlantic salmon)
Lineage: Eukaryota; Metazoa; Chordata; Actinopteri; Salmoniformes; Salmonidae
Description: partial tRNA-Gln
Source: RNAcentral